Molecule: long non-coding RNA, 207 nt
Organism: Sander lucioperca (pikeperch)
Lineage: Eukaryota; Metazoa; Chordata; Actinopteri; Perciformes; Percidae
Exons: 3
Source: RefSeq, a predicted model, not a curated record
CACUGCAGCAGGCUGUGAGAAAGUGAAAAUGGAACUCGUGAGCAGAAAAAGUGUUGUUUGGCAGUAAUAUCAGUCAAAAGAAGGAGAUUCAAGUCAAGAUACAUUUUCAAUUUGCAAUGCCGAUUUGUCUCGUGGUGGCAAGGACCCUAAACAAUACACAACAUCGCCGCUGCUGUGGAUGUUGUUUACUUCAUUAAUGUGUUUACU